GAAGGUGACUCUAGCGCAGGGGUCCCACCCGUUCCCAUCCCGAACACGGACGUUAAGCCCUGCAGCGCCGAUGGUACUCCCGCAAGGGGUAGAGUAGGUCGUCGCCUUCU
RNAcentral lists this ribosomal RNA (110 nucleotides) under Gracilimonas sp. RNAcentral also lists the same sequence under 1 other name. Lineage: Bacteria; Pseudomonadati; Balneolota; Balneolia; Balneolales; Balneolaceae. The record is from RNAcentral.